This 65-nucleotide transfer RNA is filed under the name Cavia porcellus (domestic guinea pig). It matches the Rfam family "tRNA". From Rfam's summary of the family: Transfer RNA (tRNA) molecules are approximately 80 nucleotides in length. Their secondary structure includes four short double-helical elements and three loops (D, anti-codon, and T loops). Lineage: Eukaryota; Metazoa; Chordata; Mammalia; Rodentia; Caviidae. The record is from Rfam by way of RNAcentral.
AGUGUAGCUCAGUAGUAGAGCACUUGCUUGGCAUGUAUGAAGCCCCGGGUUCAAUUCUUAGCACU